This 459-nucleotide ribosomal RNA is filed under the name uncultured bacterium. RNAcentral's name for it is "partial 16S ribosomal RNA". It matches the Rfam family "Bacterial small subunit ribosomal RNA", at positions 338 to 795 of the family's 1533-position model. The record is from RNAcentral.
CCUACGGGCGGCAGCAGUGAGGAAUAUUGGUCAAUGGGCGCGAGCCUGAACUAGCCAAGUCGCGUGAGGGAAGACGGUCCUAUGGAUUGUAAAUCUCUUUCUUCGGGGAGCAAAAGACGCCACUAGUGGCGUUCCGAGAGUCCCCGAAGUACAAGCAUCGGCUAACUCUGUGCCAGCAGCCGCGGUAGUACGGGGGAUGUGACCGUUAUCCGGAUUUAUUGGGGUGAAAGGGGGGGCAGGCGGAAGAUCAAGUCAGCGGUAAAAUUGAGGGGCUCAACCUCUUCGUGCCGUUGACACUGGUUUUCUUGAGUGAGUGAGAGGUAUGCGGAAGGCGGGGUGUAGCGGUGAAAUGCAUAGAUAUCACGAAGAACUCCGGUUGCGAAGGCAGCAUACCGGCGCUCAACUGACGCUCAUGCGCGAAAGUGUGGGUAUCGAACAGGAUUAGAUACCCGAGUAGUC